GCGUCGGCGGCGUGCCUAAUACAUGCAAGUCGAGCGGUAAGGCCCUUCGGGGUACACGAGCGGCGGACGGCUGAGUAACGCGUGGGAACAUGCCCCAAAGUGAGGGAUAACGCACCGAAAGGUGUGCUAAUACCGCAUAUGGUCUUCGGAUUAAAGGAUUUAUCCGCUUUGGGAGUGGCCCGCGUACGAUUAGAUUGUUGGUGAGGUAACGGCUCACCAAGUCGACGAUCGUUAACUGGUCUGAGAGGAUGAUCAGUCAGACUGGAACUGAGACACGGUCCAGACUCCUACGGGAGGCAGCAGUAAGGAAUCUUCCACAAUGGGCGAAAGCCUGAUGGAGCAACGCCGCGUGCAGGAUGAAGGCCCUCGGGUCGUAAACUGCUUUUAUGAGUGAAGAAUAUGACGGUAACUCAUGAAUAAGCACCGGCUAACUACGUG
Molecule: ribosomal RNA, 438 nt
Filed under: uncultured bacterium
Lineage: Bacteria
Description: bacterial SSU rRNA
Rfam family: Bacterial small subunit ribosomal RNA
Source: RNAcentral